RNAcentral lists this ribosomal RNA (253 nucleotides) under uncultured bacterium. Its description in RNAcentral is "partial 16S ribosomal RNA". It matches the Rfam family "Bacterial small subunit ribosomal RNA", at positions 524 to 776 of the family's 1533-position model. The record is from RNAcentral.
UACGUAGGUGGCAAGCGUUGUCCGGAUUUACUGGGCGUAAAGAGCGCGCAGGCGGCUAUCCAAGUCAGUGGUGAAAGCCCGGAGCUCAACUCCGGAACUGCCAUUGAAACUGUUUAGCUUGAGGACGAGAGAGGUGAGUGGAAUUCCCAGUGUAGAGGUGAAAUUCGUAGAUAUUGGGAAGAACACCGGUGGCGAAGGCGGCUCACUGGCUCGUAUCUGACGCUCAGGCGCGAUAGCGUGGGGAUCAAACAGG